RNAcentral lists this ribosomal RNA (734 nucleotides) under Ruegeria sp. AU105_Ted2_MB. Its description in RNAcentral is "bacterial SSU rRNA". It matches the Rfam family "Bacterial small subunit ribosomal RNA", at positions 60 to 841 of the family's 1533-position model. Lineage: Bacteria; Pseudomonadati; Pseudomonadota; Alphaproteobacteria; Rhodobacterales; Roseobacteraceae. The record is from RNAcentral.
AGUCGAGCGCUCUCUUCGGAGGGAGCGGCGGACGGGUUAGUAACGCGUGGGAACAUACCCUUUGGUACGGAAUAGCCUCUGGAAACGGAGAGUAAUACCGUAUGAGCCCUUCGGGGGAAAGAUUUAUCGCCAAAGGAUUGGCCCGCGUUAGAUUAGGUAGUUGGUGGGGUAAUGGCCUACCAAGCCUACGAUCUAUAGCUGGUUUUAGAGGAUGAUCAGCAACACUGGGACUGAGACACGGCCCAGACUCCUACGGGAGGCAGCAGUGGGGAAUCUUGGACAAUGGGGGCAACCCUGAUCCAGCCAUGCCGCGUGAGUGAUGAAGGCCUUAGGGUCGUAAAGCUCUUUCGCCUGUGAAGAUAAUGACGGUAGCAGGUAAAGAAACCCCGGCUAACUCCGUGCCAGCAGCCGCGGUAAUACGGAGGGGGUUAGCGUUGUUCGGAAUUACUGGGCGUAAAGCGCACGUAGGCGGACUGGAAAGUAUGGGGUGAAAUCCCAGGGCUCAACCCUGGAACUGCCUCAUAAACUAUCAGUCUAGAGUUCGAGAGAGGUGAGUGGAAUUCCGAGUGUAGAGGUGAAAUUCGUAGAUAUUCGGAGGAACACCAGUGGCGAAGGCGGCUCACUGGCUCGAUACUGACGCUGAGGUGCGAAAGUGUGGGGAGCAAACAGGAUUAGAUACCCUGGUAGUCCACACCGUAAACGAUGAAUGCCAGUCGUCGGGUAGCAUGCUAUUC